CAGUAGCCGCGGGAAUACGUAGGGUGCGAGCGUUAAUCGGAAUUACUGGGCGUAAAGCGUGCGCAGGCGAUUCGUUAAGACAGAUGUGAAAUCCCCGGGCUUAACCUGGGAACUGCAUCUUAUACUGCGUAGCUGGAGUGCAGUAGAGGGUAGUGGAAUUUCCGGUGUAGCGGUGAAAUGCGUAGAUAUCGGAAGGAACACCGGUGGCGAAGGCGGCCAACUGGACUGGUAUUGACGCUGAGGCGCGAAAGCGUGGGGAGCAAACAGGAUUAGAUACCCGGGUAGUCCCUGUCUCUUAUAC
This 301-nucleotide ribosomal RNA is filed under the name uncultured bacterium. RNAcentral's name for it is "partial 16S ribosomal RNA". It matches the Rfam family "Bacterial small subunit ribosomal RNA", at positions 509 to 807 of the family's 1533-position model. The record is from RNAcentral.